CCGCUGCUCCACUAUCCUGCGCCACGGAACUCAGCCAUGGGUAUAGACCGGCGCGGAUCCGGCUCGGCCCCCCCCCCUUCUGGGCCGGGGGAGUGAUCCCAGCCCUAACCCUGUGGCCCUGACCGCGACACUGCAACUGAGGCCGGGGAGCCCGACCGCCACACCUAAAAUGGCGGGCGCCAUGUGCGCUGACGGUAAAGGGAAUACCUGCUCCCAUCUCAUGCUCAAGGAGGCGCAGACAUUCCGGACAUGCCGCACGGAGAGACGGCGAAACCAGC
Pelobates cultripes (western spadefoot toad) is the source of this 278-nucleotide non-coding RNA. NCBI's taxonomy places the organism in Eukaryota, Metazoa, Chordata, Amphibia, Anura, Pelobatidae. The record is from the annotation of a GenBank genome assembly.